RNAcentral lists this ribosomal RNA (492 nucleotides) under uncultured bacterium. RNAcentral describes it as "partial 16S ribosomal RNA". It matches the Rfam family "Bacterial small subunit ribosomal RNA", at positions 30 to 507 of the family's 1533-position model. The record is from RNAcentral.
AGUGAACGCUGGCGGCAUGCCUAACACAUGCAAGUCGAACGGCAGCGCAGUAAUAGCUUGGGCUGAGGGGGGGGGAGUGGCGGGUGAGAGAGGAGAACAUCGGCAUCUGCUGUUUCGUGGGGGAUAACGUAGGGAAACUUACGACAAAACAGCAUACGAUGUACGGGGGAAAGCAGGGGAUCUUCGGAGCUUGCGGGGUUGGAUGAGCCGAUGGCGGAUUAGCUGGUUGGCGGGGUAACGGCCCACCAAGGCGACGAUCGGUAGCUGGUCUGAGAGGAGGAUCAGCCACACUGGAACUGAGACACGGCCCAGACUCCUACGGGAGGCAGCAGUGGGGAAUAUUGGACAAUGGGCGAAAGCCUGAUCCAGCAAUACCGCGUGUGUGAAGAAGGCCUUCGGGUUGUAAAGCCCUUUUGUCGGGAAAGAAAAGCAGUGGGCUAAUACCACGCUUUGAUGACGGUACCCGGAGAAUAAGCACCGGCUAACUACGUG